GACGGAGGGUGCAAGCGUUGUUCGGAAUUACUGGGCGUAAAGCGUACGUAGGCGGCGGGUUAAGUCGAAUGUUAAAGCCAGAGGCUCAACCUCUGAGAUGCAUUCGAUACUGGCCUGCUAGAGGGUGAUAGAGGAAAGCGGAAUUCCCAGUGUAGCGGUGAAAUGCGUAGAUAUUGGGAGGAACAUCAGUAGCGAAGGCGGCUUUCUGGGUCACACCUGACGCUGAGGUACGAAAGCGUGGGGAGCAAACGGGAUUAGAAACCCCAGUAGUCC
RNAcentral lists this ribosomal RNA (273 nucleotides) under uncultured bacterium. RNAcentral describes it as "partial 16S ribosomal RNA". It matches the Rfam family "Bacterial small subunit ribosomal RNA", at positions 524 to 796 of the family's 1533-position model. The record is from RNAcentral.